Molecule: ribosomal RNA, 735 nt
Filed under: uncultured Fusobacterium sp.
Lineage: Bacteria; Fusobacteriati; Fusobacteriota; Fusobacteriia; Fusobacteriales; Fusobacteriaceae
Description: bacterial SSU rRNA
Rfam family: Bacterial small subunit ribosomal RNA
Source: RNAcentral
GAUGAACGCUGACAGAAUGCUUAACACAUGCAAGUCAACUUGAAUUUGGGUUUUUAACUUAGAUUUGGGUGGCGGACGGGUGAGUAACGCGUAAAGAACUUGCCUCACAGCUAGGGACAACAUUUAGAAAUGAAUGCUAAUACCUGAUAUUAUGAUUUUAAGGCAUCUUAGAAUUAUGAAAGCUAUAAGCACUGUGAGAGAGCUUUGCGUCCCAUUAGCUAGUUGGAGAGGUAACAGCUCACCAAGGCGAUGAUGGGUAGCCGGCCUGAGAGGGUGAACGGCCACAAGGGGACUGAGACACGGCCCUUACUCCUACGGGAGGCAGCAGUGGGGAAUAUUGGACAAUGGACCGAGAGUCUGAUCCAGCAAUUCUGUGUGCACGAUGAAGUUUUUCGGAAUGUAAAGUGCUUUCAGUUGGGAAGAAACAAAUGACGGUACCAACAGAAGAAGUGACGGCUAAAUACGUGCCAGCAGCCGCGGUAAUACGUAUGUCACGAGCGUUAUCCGGAUUUAUUGGGCGUAAAGCGCGUCUAGGUGGUUAUGUAAGUCUGAUGUGAAAAUGCAGGGCUCAACUCUGUAUUGCGUUGGAAACUGUAUAACUAGAGUACUGGAGAGGUAAGCGGAACUACAAGUGUAGAGGUGAAAUUCGUAGAUAUUUGUAGGAAUGCCGAUGGGGAAGCCAGCUUACUGGACAGAUACUGACGCUAAAGCGCGAAAGCGUGGGUAGCAAACAGG